AGAGUUUGAUCAUGGCUCAGAACGAACGCUGGCGGCGUGGAUUAGGCAUGCAAGUCGAACGUGAAAGGGGAGCAAUCCCUGAUCGAGUGGCGAACUGGUGAGUAACAGGUGGGCAAUGUGCCCCAGAGUGGGGGAUAACUCCGAGAAAUCGGAGCUAAUACCGCAUACGGUGUUAUAGGCUUUGGCUCGUAACAUUAAAGCAGUAAUGCGCUUUGGGAUCGGCCCGCCCCCGAUUAGCUAGUUGGUGAGGUAACGGCUCACCAAGGCAACGAUCGGUAGCUGGUCUGAGAGGAUGGUCAGCCACACUGGAACUGAGACACGGCCCAGACUCCUACGGGAGGCAGCAGUGGGGAAUAUUGGACAAUGGGCGCAAGCCUGAUCCAGCCAUGCCGCGUGGGUGAUGAAGGCCCUAGGGUUGUAAAGCCCUUUCAUGAGGGAAGAACACUGACCUAACCUCAGGAAGAAGCACCGGCUAACUCCGUGCCAGCAGCCGCGGUAAUACA
This 503-nucleotide ribosomal RNA is filed under the name uncultured bacterium. Its description in RNAcentral is "bacterial SSU rRNA". It matches the Rfam family "Bacterial small subunit ribosomal RNA", at positions 8 to 527 of the family's 1533-position model. The record is from RNAcentral.